UGAAAACAGAGCACAAUACAUUCAUUCUGAAACAGAAAGGCAGUCAUGACUAUGCUGUGAACACCCAGAGAACGAUAUAUUGAUGCUGACGCAGAAAAGCAGUAAUGAUUAUGCUGUGAACACCCAGAGCAAGAUAUAUCCAUGCUGACACAGAAAGGCAUUAAUGACUAUGCAGUGAACACCCAGAGCAAGAUAUAUCCAUGCUGACACAGAAAGGCAGUAAUGACUAUGCUGUGAACAACCAGACCACAAAACAUCCAUGCUGACACAGAAAGGCAGUAAUGACUUGGUUGUGAACACCCAGAGCAAGAUAUAUCCAUGCUGACACAGAAAGGCAGUAAUGAUUGGCUGUGAACACAGAACACGAUACACCCAUGCUGAAACAGAAAGGCAGUGAUGACUUGGCUGUGAACACAGAACACGAUACACCCAUGCUGACACAGAAAGGCAGUAAUGACUUGGCUGUGAACACAGAACACAAUACAUCCAUGCUGACACAGAAAGGCAGUAAUGACUUGGCUGUGAACACAGACCACAAUACAUCCAUGCUGACAAAGAAAGGCAGUUAUGACUUGGUUGUGAACACAGAGCACAAUACAUCCUUGUUGACACAGAAAGGUAGUUAUGACUUUGCUGUGAACUCAGAGCACGAUACAUCCAUGCUGACACAGAAAGGCAGUUAUGACUUGGAUGUAAAUACCCAGAGCACAAUACAUCCAUGCUGACACAGAAAGGCAGUAAAGACUUUGUUGUAAACACUAAGAGAUCCAUAUAUCCAUGGGGUGUGCCACAGACGCAAAUUACGCCCACUAUUGUGAACAAGGUGCUUAAAGUGAACAUGUUUGGUUUUGUUAUGAGCACUUAGCACUCCGAGCCCAAAAGGCCUCGCAUUGAAUUGAUGCAAGAAAAGGCUUUGAAAAAUAACAGCAGUUUUGUUGUGUGGUCCAGUACGCCCUUUGACUUGCAACCUGAAUAAAGCAGAACUAGAACUCGGCUCUUAGCAAUAUCAGCAAGAUCAGCAUGUCAUCUUAGCUUCUUGAGCACAGUGAACUUUACUAGCAAACAUGACAAACGUCAUUGAAAUGAAAGUCGAUGACAACCCCCUUCUUGCACAAAUACUACAACUUGCUUAAGAAAAUCAGCAUGAAAACGUCUUGCGUCAGACUACCAAGCCUCCUAUCAAUAUAUCCUCCCAAUUUGCUGGCUACAUCAACACUUCCAACAGCAGAGCCUUGGUGAGUUUGACUUCCGUCUCAGCACCCAUGUCGCUUAGCAACAAUUGAAUGAUGGGCGUCGACAAAUUAGGCCGGACAAGUCGCUCAAACUGAAACGAUCUGAUCCAACAGGUAGAGCAAGCGUUGCGUGACACGUCCGUUAAUGUGACUGACCAUAAUAUGUUGUUCUCGAAUAAUGUGAACCUUAGGCCUGGAGAGCAGUAUGCGAUUGACUCCAUUCAACAACAGUUGUUAUUGGCAAUUCUCAGGUUUCGGGUGGCGACUUCAGCGUCAGGACUUGCUCCAUCUCUGUCUAUGGCCCAGUCCCAGCAGCAGCAGCAGCAGCAGCAGCAAUAAGAACAAUAACUGAAUAAAAGGCUCUCUGGUCAGCUGGACCCAGACGCCAAGGGACACUUCCUGCCCAAGUACCGUGAGGCAAAUGCUCAAUGAGUUCUACCCGAAGUGUGCAGCGUCUCUAGACCUGUGGCUCCAGACUGUCUUACCCAGGGGCCAAGAUUACUUUAUCUGCAAGAGGCCUCAUACUCACAGGUUCCCCAACUACAACUCAGCCACAACAUCCUAAUCUGAAAGUCCUGUUGCCAUGGCAAAACGGGACAACUUGUCAAUCAACAUGGAACAGUACCCUGAAAAUCACGACCAUCUAAAGAACUGUGCAACUGUGCCAAGCGUGACCCUUUAGAGAAAGGGGCUUCCAUUCCGAAGGUCAAAUUGUGGCCGUUGUUCAGUGUCAAGCGGAAUCCUAGCAACCAAGCCACGUCAGCACAGCAGCAAAAACAGUUUCAGCAGCAGUCGUAUACUAAACAUCAACAACAGUGGUGCAUAUGCAUUAAACUACGAGAGGUAUGAAUGCAAAUAUGUCUUAAACAAGUUGACUGCGUAAUGUGGCAUCAAAGUCUGCAAGGAGAAACCAUGCAAUUGAGGAAGCCAAGAAACCAUGUGAUAAUUUCAAGCAGCUUACCUACUCUUGAAACCCGGAUAGCAAAGCAUUGAGAUUGUUCUGGAAGCAUUUGUAGUCACAGCUCAUUAAGCAUCCCCCUGAAGCAGGACCCUCAGUCUACGGACGCCAAUUGACGAAAUAAAACUUGUCAUUCAGCAACACAGCCAGUUGCAGCAGUUGUUACCAUAUUGACCCCAGUCAAAACUAGGAGCUCAGAGAUAACACAGCCAGUUGCAGCAGUUGUUACCGUAUGGACCCCAGUCAAAACAAGGAGCUCAGAGAUAAAUACUGUUUAAGAUAGAUAUUCUCUACAUUCCUCAUGGUCAGCCAACACAGCCAGUUGCAGCAGUUGUUACCAUAUUGACCCCAGUCAAAACUAGGAGCACAGAGACAAUCAGCAACCCAGCCAGUUGCAGCAGUUGUUACCAAAUUGACCCCAGUCAAAACUAGGAGCUCAGAGACAAUCAGCAACACAGCCAGUUGCAGCAGUUGUUACCAUAGUGACCCCAGUCAAAACUAGGAGCUCAGAGACAAUCAGCAACACAGCCAGUUGCAGCAGUUGUUACCAAAUUGACCCCAGUCAAAACAAGGAGCUCAGAGACAAUCAGCAACACAGCCAGUUGCAGCAGUUGUUACAGUAUGACCCCAGUCAAAACUAGGAGCUCAGAGAUAAAUACUGUUUAAGAUAGAUAUUCUCUACAUUCCUCAUGGUCAGGCAACACAGCCAGUUGCAGCAGUUGUUACCGUAUUGACCCCAGUCAAAACUAGGAGCACAGAGACAAUCAGCAACACAGCCAGUUGCAGCAGUUGUUACCAAAUUGACCCCAGUCAAAACUAAGAGCUCAGAAACAAUCAGCAACACAGCCAGUUGCAGCAGUUGUUACCAUAGUGACCCCAGUCAAAACUAGGAGCUCAGAGACAAUCAGCAACACAGCCAGUUGCAGCAGUUGUUACCAUAGUGACGCCAGUCAAAACUAGGAGCUCAGAGACAAUCAGCAACACAGCCAGUUGCAGCAGUUGUUACCGUAUGACCCCAGUCAAAACUAGGAGCUCAGAGACAAUCAGCAAUACAGCCAGUUGCAGCAGUUGUUACCAUAUUGACCCCAGUCAAAACUAGGAGCUCAGAGACAAUCAGCAACACAGCCAGUUGCAGCAGUUGUUACCAUAUUGACCCCAGUCAAAAGUAGGAGCUCAGAGACAAUCAGCAACACAGCGAGUUGCAGCAGUUGUUACCGUAUGACCCCAGUCAAAACUAAGAGCUCAGAGACAAU
This is a long non-coding RNA of Dreissena polymorpha, 3443 nucleotides long. RefSeq lists it as uncharacterized. The transcript is spliced from 9 exons. The record is from RefSeq and is a predicted model, not a curated record. Lineage: Eukaryota; Metazoa; Mollusca; Bivalvia; Myida; Dreissenidae.